This 318-nucleotide unclassified non-coding RNA is filed under the name Hevea brasiliensis (rubber tree). The record is from RNAcentral. Lineage: Eukaryota; Viridiplantae; Streptophyta; Magnoliopsida; Malpighiales; Euphorbiaceae.
GCCCAUCGUUAAUUAUUGAAUUGCUUAAUUUCUUAAAAAGCUCAUAUAAGGCCUUUACUUCACUAACCGUAAAAGGUGUUUCAGCAGCAAGAACAGUGGGUUCUUCAUAUCCCCGUGUUUGUUUAGAUCUCUUUAAGCAAAAGCAGCCUUUGAAAGCAAGUAACAUGAUUCAAUUGCAAAACUUUCUGAAAAUCAAUAGAGUCAUGCCCGUGGUAGUACUUGAAAAUUCAACCUUUCUUGAAACUGUGAGUAUUCAGAGGAAAAUUGAUGGAGUAAUUUGAUGCGAGCUAAGCACUUGUGUUUACAGGAAGAAAGAAG